Molecule: non-coding RNA, 27 nt
Filed under: Rattus norvegicus (Norway rat)
Lineage: Eukaryota; Metazoa; Chordata; Mammalia; Rodentia; Muridae
Source: RNAcentral
UGAAGUAUUCUAAGAGUACCACUUGUG